Mugil cephalus (flathead mullet) is the source of this 17092-nucleotide long non-coding RNA. RefSeq lists it as uncharacterized. Lineage: Eukaryota; Metazoa; Chordata; Actinopteri; Mugiliformes; Mugilidae. The transcript is spliced from 8 exons. The record is from RefSeq and is a predicted model, not a curated record.
UGAAGAUUAUAAAAUUGCAUGUUAUAGUAACCUCACUGUCAUCCAAAACAGUCAUAACAAUUAUAUGCAAAAUGUUGAUAUUUCUCAUGUUUUAUACAGCUUAAAGAGCGUGGGGUCAAUUUGACAGAUGUGUACAACAUGUAUAGAGGAGAUUGAAAACACAUCAUCAUUUUAAUUUUAUGGUUACCCAGUUGUACCCUUUAAAUGAUAAAAAGUCACAAAAUGUGAAGCAAAACAAUUAUGCUAAUCACAUAUUUAGAGACAUCAAACAACAUUGCAUAUUAUGCUGGACUUUAAUGUGAAAUGUGAGUAUAGUUUGGGUUCAGUACAUUCUAUAUUACUGUACAUGUCACUUCACAUUAAACUUCAGAUAAUCAUAGAACACAAACUUUUCACACAGGGUAUUACUACAUAAAACAUUUAGAUAUGUAGAUUUUUGUUUUUCAAUGUAAGUUGCAACAUAAUUAGUAUGAAAAAAUAGUUAUUUUUCUAAAUGUCUGUAUGUCAAUUGUAAUUGAAGGGGAAAAAAAAUAUUUGUGAGGGAGGUUGAAAUUAACUCACCACAUUAAAAUUAAAGGUUGUUUUGAUUUGGGUUGACUUGUGCUUGGCAACUGCUAAGCACAAGUCAACCAGCCCCUUUCUGUCCACGAAGGCUGGAGAAAAUUCAGUAGAUAUUGAAGUUGCAUUUCAAAUCUGCACAGAUAGAUGAGCUCAGCCUUCUUCCAGGUACACUGAGAUCAUACCAGUGUCCUAAACUUGUGACUGAAAGUAGGAGUAAAGUUAUUAAUUAUUCAAUUAAUUAUUUAAAUACAAAAGGCAAAUUGUUACCUGUCAAGAAGGAAAACACAUUUCUGCUGUAUGAAGAUGUUUUGAGUUCUGUCUACCCUGCUUACAAUUGUGGUUAUAAACCACUACCACAAACAAGUUAUCCCACUAACUAUAUGAGAAGUGUAAAGAAGCUAACGUGAGUAAGUAGAUAAAAAGUGCCAACUUACUAAACAAAAUUCAAAGAGAAAAAUCCUCCAGAGCAUUUCAAGACUGCAAUGUCAGCUCAGUUUACAAUGCUGCAUUAAACACAUCUGCAGAAAACUCACAAAACGUUAUUGUGACAAUACACAGAAUUAAAAUAAUAGCACUCAUGAACUAAGUUUUCAAAUACUGGAUAAUAAUGGGCUGAAUCUUUUUUGUUAUUUCUUAAUAUAAUUUGUUCCCUGUUUUGACACUCCCUGCUCCUGUGCUGCAUGCGACAUUAGCUAAACUGUGUGACUGACUAUUUGGCUUACAGCAGAACAGAACCAUGUCUAAUAUGUGAACUUUUUUUGUUCACUGACAUAGACCAGAGGUAUUGAAGAAAUAACAUCAUGAUGAUUGAGAUUGAGAAAGGAUAUAAAACUAGCUGAUAUUUUGUUUUUAUGCAGACAAAUGAGUCUACCUGUUACAGCUGUUACUGGUAUAGUAAACAUACAUAUCUGUAUUGCCUGUUUAAAAAUGCCAUUCAGUACUACUGAUACUUAUACUGUGGCUCCUAUAUAUUCUAUUUACAAUUAUGUUGGAAGCAGAAAUCAACAUUCAGGUAGAAUUAUUCUGUACAAAGCAUACACAUUGUUUUCUCUGGGUAGAAGAGAGCAGGUCAUAUGAGUUGAAUGAAUGGAUAAAACUAUGCAUGAAUUGCACCAGGUUCAGGCCACCAUGGGAGAUGCUGUAUGAAAGCAGAUGAGAUAAAACCAGCUGUCUUACAGAUCCUCCUGAGAACUAUUAAUAAUGAAACAACAGGCUGGUUUGUACAGAUUCACGUAUCAUGAAAAUGGCUUUUUAGUUGAUGUUACAGGCCUUUUACCUGUCUGUUCAGUUUAUAUUUAUGCAGGAUUUUGUGAAAUACACAGUGGGGGGGACUCUUUGCCCUCAUGAAGAGGUUUUCAGUUGCUGGUGGAAACUAGUCUUUGGUGUGUGGACAGCCAUAUAUGUGUGGUCGUCACAGCCAGAGAGGCUCUCUAGUGGAUAGUUUGCUGAUUUUUCUUUCUGUGUUAUGUAUCGUUGCUGAAUCUUACAUUGAAUCUUGGUUUUGGUUUGGUACCUGUCUGUUUUUUUUAUAGCAAAGUCCAAAUAUGCAAGAUUUAAUAAGUAAAGAAAGAAUAAGAUUUAAGGGUGUUAGGGAAGAAGAAAAUGGCUCAAUAAUUUAUUUGAAGUCUGUAGAAUAGUAUAGGUGAGAAUAUUUUCAUUUCACAAUGAAACGAGUACCCUUGUGUCUAUAUCAAGUUAGCCUUUACAAGAAACUGAACGUCCAUUGCCUCUCCAUCUGCCAUUAUUUGCAAUGCUGAUUGAUAGAGCUUUCUCUAACCCCUCCAUCCCAGACUUCAACUGUGGUUUGCUGCCUCUUUAUUUAUGUCUCCCUUUGGUUUCUGGUUGGCUUUUUCUCCUCCGCUCAGCUUCUAUCACUUUCUUUGUGUCUCUCUGUAGACUGUGAGCUGAUACCAUCCUUUGAAAAGGUAAUGAUCCCACUGUGUUGAGAUUAUGUAUGUGUGCUGCACAGUGUAAUGGCCUGGCUUUUUAUUGCUUGCCGCAUACUAAUCCCACAACUGAAGGAAUGAGAUGACACCUGCAGGGAGCUGUGUGUGAGCGGCAGCCUCACAUGAAAGAAUGGCCAUUAAAAAUGAUCAAAGAAAUUACUGCACUCGGCUGCACAACACUGCUCUCACGCCUGGCUAGGUGUACAGCCCUCUGCCUCAGCAUGCACGCACAUAUACACGCAUGCAUACAUGGCCUCACGCUAAUUAGUAUCUCCCUCUGAUGGAUAUUUUCCAAGUGAUUCUCUGUGGAAAUGUCCUGCACAUAGAUGCCUUAGGCUCACUGCCGUCGGUGCACCCACGCUUGCAGAUAGGAAAUAGAGGACAUGCGUGUGUUGAAAAUGAUACUCGGCUUUCUAUAGCCCUACCACAAAUUAUUCAUGGAAACAUUACAACAAGUGUGUUAUUGUCAUUUUCUUGAAGGGCAUUUUGUUACAUUAAGAAAGGUCAGUCAUUGAAUUUUAUUUUACACAUUUUACGCUGCUUUAAUGACCAUGGUCUUUAGGUGUGCAUUUUAGAAUUUCAGUUCAGCAUACUGGUCCUUUUGUCAGGAUAUCUGAUGCCCUUCCUGAACAGUCCGUCUAAAUACAUCAGUUGUAACUCUUACAACACUUUUUUUUUUUUAAAUGUCACUGUUCACUAGCCCUAGGUGUUUGUUUGUAUAGUCCUUCUCAGGUGUCAUGUGCCUACAUGCCCUCUUCACCAGAUGUAGCACUUCUGCCUCCAUGUCCGGUGUGUGAGGUGACCCGGUGUGAGCCAGGCAUCUGCUCUUAUCAGUGGGCUUUUUUCUUGGCUAUCAGAUAACAAAUAACAAAUUCAGUCUUUGUGUAGAUACACACUGAUGUAAGGCAAUCUAUUUCCUAUAGAGCCUGGAUUAAAAACUCUUUUAUUUUGUCAAAGGCCUGGUCAUCAAUGGCAACUUACUAUCCUUUCAAAAUCAAUUCCUUUUGAACUGAUACGAGUGAUCUCAUUUAUGAUGAAGGGAUUUAAGAGAUGGCACUUAAAGACAAGCAAAAAAUGCCAAAUUCUCAUUGUAAGUGAAAAGUAAGUACUACUGUAUUUAUUAUUUUUUAUUAUCGGUCAUAUGCUUGUCAGUGCAGAGAGAAUGUGGUUAUCAGAGGGAUCCACUUCCCUAAGAGAACCUUUUCUUAGUACUCCUCCUUUCUCCCCAUUAGCCCCUCCCUUUCUUUCCCUCAGCGGUCCAUUUUAGAACCAUGCGGGUGCAUGGUUUGGUGGGUAAUUUCACUGCCUUUUCAUGUGUCGGAGGGCGAGGAAUCUUCCUCCAUUAGGUAGUGCCAUCUUGUGAUGUAUGAUGUAUGCACAGAAAGGCAAUCCAAUGUUUAUUCAUGACUUUCAAGGCAAUGCCUCAGCUAAGCCCUCUGAUUUCCUUUUAAGGAACAAAACUACGUGAGAUUGAGACUUCAGUUUAAAGGCACACAGACCGUCCUGCCGCUUUUUCUACUUUGCUCUCCUCCUCUCUCUCACACACUCAUACUCUCUCUCACUCUCUCUCUCUCAUCUCUCGCCCACAGCUCUUUUUUUUAUCUCUUUUAAAUUCUCCCUCGAUAUUUUUCUGUCAGAUUUAAUUUAUUUGACCCUUAGAAAAAAGAUCACAUGCAGUUAUUUCCUUCUGAUUUUAGCACUCUGUCUCCCCAUCUUGCCUCUAUACUUAACUAAGGACUUUGAUGAAGAGAUGAAUUUGGAUCAUUUUUAUGGUAGGCUGGCAUGCUAAUGAGUCUAAAAGGCCUUCUGAUCACAUAUGACACACACAAAAUAUGCAGCAGUGUAGUGUGUAUGUGAAACAGCUAGGGCCAUAUUGACCUUAGUGGACAUAUUCCCAUCACUACACAAACAAUGAUAACUGCAUCAGCCAACAGACAUCACAACUGCAAAUCCAAGGCUUGUUUUGUAAUUUUAUUAAAUAUGUUUUAAAGUAACAAUUACUCAAACAUGCCCCCAUUUGUUUUGUAAAUUACUUUUUAAUGUUAAUAAAGCAGUAUCUAUCCAUCAUACUGGCACAACUCCAUGCUGGUUGUUGAUGGGACUUCUCCUAUUAACAAGUGAUAAUUAUUAAUAUGCUCAAUGACCACCAUUCAAACAGCAAAUGCAUCAUAAUGAAUGAGGGACCUGCUGCUUGACUAGUUUCGGAUGUGUACAUCUAUGAUAGUAGAUCAGUCAUGCAGGGUAGUUGUGUUUCGUGUUACAAUGUUGCUAGGUUGAAAUGUGAAAUCCCAUCAAGGCUUGAGACUAUGAAGUAAACUAUGAAGUUUGGUAUGUCUGCUGACUCAUGGUUUUACUAAAUUUACAACCUAGAUGCCUGGAAUAAGGGCUAGACACACAUAGAAUGAAGGAAUUCAGUGUGUAAACCAGGGAAACUGUAGAAGCUAGACCUGUUUACUUGGUUUUUGAAUGUUUAGCUUGGGCCACAUACAAGUCCGUCCUCUAUCAUCUCAUGUUUGAUUUGAAUAGCUCAACUGCAAUAUGAUCCUGUUACAUUUUUCUGAUGCACUGUAGCAUUAGUGAGGCAAAUUACUGCAUUUUGUAUUUAACAUUUGUUAUACUGCACUAAUAACCAUACACUGUUGCCUUGAGUGAUGCAUAUUCUAACCUUAUAUGAUAAAUAAUGCAAAUGCAGCAACCUCUGCAAAUGCCAGAGAAAAUUAGGUAGAAGGGAGGGAGAGGGCAAGGGAUUGAAAGAGUAGAGAGUGGAGAAUGAGAGAGCAGGAGCUAGCAUAACUAACUGAUUGUUGUGCUGUCAAAUUGAUUUGCAUGAAAAAGGCAGGCCUAAUUGCAACACUUAGCUGCAACGUACUGAUAAUACAGAGCAGGAUUACAAAAGGACAUGGUAGAGCUUUUAUUGAGAAGGAUUUCCUGGGCGUCUUUGAGAGAUGCACCACCACCUUCUGUUUCUGUGGGGGCCAUUCAACGCAGUGUGUCCCUAACCUUGUCUUGUUUGACAUGACAUAUCCAUCAUACAAAUGCAUGCACAUUGCUGUCUCAGCAUCCAUUACUGUAUAAAUCAGCCCCAUGUUUUCUUCUUCUUCUUCUAACUUAUGAGAACCUAAUAAGUUUGGACAAAAAAAUCUAAUUAAUUUUUUUUUUUUUUUUCAAAAGAGGCUGCCAUUAUAUUAGACCCGUACAAAUGGAUGCUGGUUUUUCGAAUUAAGAUAUAUACUGAUGAGCAAAACGUUAUAACUAUCAGUCUAAUAAAUUUGUGUGCAGCUAAAACGGCUCCAGCCUGCUUGGACAUGGCCUUUACAAGACCUAACUGAAGGUUUCUGUGGAAUCUAACGCCAAGAAAUAAAUAGCACAUUCUUUAAAUUCAGCAAGUUGGGAGGCAAUAUAGAUUAGAGCAACAUGGUCUGUCCCUCCUUUGACCGCUGUCAGUGGCUACUGAUAAUCGCUGACUUACUCAGGUAUUUGACAUAUCUGAUACAAGAAUUGUCUGAUUACAGGGCUUUACCAAGCACCAAUCUCUAAGGGACAAAGAUGUAACCAACAUGGAAGUCCCAAAGACUGUCAUUCAUGAAAGGGCCACUUGAGGAAAGUUAGUCCCAGUGGACAUCCUUGUCAAAAUGACCAACUUUACAGCUUAAAUUAACAUGUUACGGCCUGGUAUCAAUGGCCAAUUUCCCCAUGCGUGUCAGCGGGGAGUGAGUUUUCAUGUAACACAUUUGUUUAAAUGACGUCAAGAGUUGUGGUUAUGAAUAGUUAUAUUGGUCCACCAACUUUGAAAGACACGUGGGCAGAUUGCUGUCUGCCUCUGUGUCAUCUCCCUGCCUCAGCUCCACUCAACACUCCAUCUCCACCUCAUUUGCGAAUUAACCAGAAAUUAUGCAGAGUCCUUGACUCUGCAUAACAAUGGCAAUAGCCAGAGCCACUCAAAAUGCAAAAAAAUAAAAUAUCUCUUCAGACAUUCUGUGGGCAACAUUUUCAAGGCGUUUGCCCAGUCAUCGAACUGGAUACUGGAUACACCCAGAAUGUGACCAAAUUGUUGUAACUUGUAGACGUUAUUGAAUUAAUUUAAUAAUAAGGUGUUUCAGUAGGUAAACAGUAAAGUUGUUAGUUCAGCAGUAGGAUUUCAAUUUUAGCUAUUUUGGCCAUAUUACGCAUACUGCAGAAAAUAACAAAAGAAAGCUGGCUUGCCAUCAUAUUGACUCGUUCAGAGGGAGUAUAAAAAGUUACUUGCUUUGAAAGGGUGAGGGUGUGUAGAUGCACAAAUUUGUGGGUGGUGUUUAGAACAGGGCCUCCUGAUGCUGCCAAAGGCAAUACUUCCCUUUCUUCCCUUGAUUUUCUUCUUCAAUCAUAAAUGAUUGAUGUUUCAAAUUAUGAAACAGUGCUGGGAAAAUCCAAUUUAGUUGUGGGCAUUGUCGGGCUUCAUCAAAGGCUCUUCCAUUGCCUUAAUAUUUACAAAGGGGGCCACUAUUGAAUGAUACAAUAUGCCAUGUGUUAAUGUGUCUUUUAACAAAUCAUCUUGUCAUUGAUCUUUCCUUGCCAGGCACUGAUUUACACCCUAUUCAAAAUACCUUUUCUACUGACUGAUUGUUUCUGAUUUGUGCAUGUGUACAUUCAGAAAGGAGCAAAAAGUACAUUUAAAUUGUUGGUUGGAUCCCUCCCAUUUCUAUUUUUGUAGCUGACUCUUUUCGGUGGGGUUUGAUCAUACUAAUGGUUCAAGCUAGAGUCUGCAAAGCAUAUUUUAACAGUGGCAUAUCUACUCUAUGUGUUUUGAUCAUCAGCAUAAUCGGUGCCCAUCAAUUAUGGUCAGAGUGUGUUCAACCUUCAUUCAGAGAAAUGUUCUGUCCCAUUUAGACGUGCCAGUAAACCAUUCUAGUGAGCCAGCAUGCAUAAUAGUGGGACACUGACACAGUACUCCAUCCAGUAGCUGCAGCUCUUCAGGAGAGCAUUAGAAUAGAACACAUUAUUGUCUCUGCUGCUCCAAAUAAGCAAGAAGACUAUAAACUGUAAUGGCUGCAAAAAGGGUUUCUGGGUUCUUAAUGUUUCUUGAGAUUUGAUUUAUUUUUGUUAUUCAGUUUAUUUGAAAGGUCUAUAUAUUUUUUUGACAUUGUGUGUAUGUUGGUUGAAAAUACUGGCUUUAUCAAUGAAUUGGUCUGAAAUUAGAUGUGCAAACACUUGAAGAUGUCUGGAUACUAUUUCAAAAUAUAAGUUAAAUAUAUUAACAAAUUUGCUUGUUCCACUAUUUAGCAACUAGACAUACACCGAUGACCCAAGUGUAUGUUUUUACUGCUCAUUGAAAGCUCAUUCUGCCCAACUGGAAGAUGGCUAGUUCAUUUUAUUGUUUAAGUGUUCAGAUGCAUCUGUUAACUCUUUAUUUUGGCUUUUUGUAUUUGUCUUCUGAAUGUUUGUCUGGUCAGGGUUAGUUACCGUCCUACUUUACUUUGAGCCAACAUUUAAGUUUAUCCUUCCCUUACCCACUGUUGCUCUCCAUCAUAUGAACUUAAUCCUUUUUGUUGCGCUGUCUGAUCCUCUGCACAUCUGUAAACAUCUUGCACUCUUACCACAUGUCGUGAUAAUCAUGCAAGAGCUUAGUAAAAGGCAAAAAAACUGAAUAAGUAAGAGGGAGUCUGACCUUUUAGUUCUUGAAGAAAUGGAUUAAUGUCUAUCACAAUAAGAAAUAUAAGAAAAAUAGCCAUUCCAUCUUAAUGAAACCUUUCUCAAAGCCAACACACAGAAAGGCAAACCUAUGAAAAAGUUCUGGGAAGUAAAAGGCUUAAAAGGCUGUUAGCUUCAAAAGGCAUAUUUCCUCCUUUUGUUCUGGCCUUGAUUGAGGCAAUUUUCCAGGUUUUUCACGGAAAACACUGCUUAAUGUCUUUGGCUUGAGGGAAUAAGAAUGAAAGUGGGACCUGAAGGUCCUUAUUACAAGCCUUUUGUGUCAGUCAUUAUUAAACAAGGCCCGAAUCUACAGUAUUUCCACCCCCCCACCCCUCCCCUCUGUCUUUAGGACCUUAUGUAAGACUAUAGCUUUGUGAGGAACAGACAUUGUGCUAAAGUCUUCUGACCAGGUCUAGUGACCUACAUGAUCAGUGUGUACUUACAACAUUGUUUCAGUUGUUUCACUUGUUAACACAAAGAAACCAUUUCACUGUUGGGAUCAAUAAAGUGAUAAAGUGAUCUUGUAUUAAGGGGCAUCUGUUGACCUGAAUUUCACACGUUUGGUAUUUUGACUCGUAUUUUAUUUAGAAUGUGUGCGUGUUUUAUUCUUUCAAUGGCAUAUUUAAAAAACCAAACCAAACUAGUUUUAAUUAUACUAAUGUUGGUAUCUUUUUAAUCAAGUAUUUAAUGCUUGUUUAAGAGUUACAAAUAUAUGUCAGCUUGCUUGGCUUAAGUUGGCUCUUCCUAUUGAGCAGUUCUCAUAACCCUAGCAGUAUGAUUUGCCAAAAAGUCUUGAAGAAAUUUCUUUUUCAGACCAAUUAAAUCUGUCAUUGCCCUUUAGCAGUAAAAUGUAGAGGCAGCAGAUUUUUUCCACAGCCAGCAGAGGUCAUGUUCAUGUGUGCUUUCCUAGCUCUAUUCUCAUAAGUGCUUCUUGCCUUUUUUCUCAUCACAUUCACAACCUCAGCUCAUUUUGAGUGGGUGGGACAUGGGAGAUUUCAGCCUGACAGGUUGUCUCCUGAAUGUACAGUAAAUUGUGAGUAACAUAUAAUUCUGAGAGGUUCUCAGUGUCACAGGCUCAUGGUGUUUCACCUGGACUUUAGUAUUAUUAGAUGAGUAUGGCAUGUGGGACAGGGAACAUCCUACAGUAGAACCGUAGCUGUCUAUCCAAGAUGCUUAGCUCUGGGAGAUCAGCUUGGCAGCCAUGCUGCAUCUAGACGAUGCCAUCAAAGCAGAGAGGAGGAGGAGGGUAAUGAGGAGUGAACUAAAUAAAAUCAGAAUAUUACAUUAUAGACAGAUGAGCAGAUAAAAACUAGGAUUAAACUGAAGGAAACUGUGGAAGAAUCAUGUCAUUCAUGUGAAGUGAGAAGCAUACACCAACUUUUCCAAGAUUAAAUGAACUUUACCACUUGUGCACAUUCAAGCAGGCAUUUUGUGACCAAAGCAAAGUGCAACAUUUGGCUUUGAUUGUUGUCCACACACUUUAUUUAUUUGUUUUUAUGUUAUUUGCUGCAUCUACAUGAAUGUAUUAUGGCUAACUGGGUAUCAUGUCCGGAGACGCAUGGGUUGAGUCAGCUGGGUGUGUUAAAGUAAAAUGAAAUAAAUCUCAUCUCAUCUUCCAUAUCGCUUAAUCCUCACUAGGGUCACGGGGGCUGCUGGAGCCUAUCGGGCAACAGGCGGGGUACACCUUGGACAGGUCGCCAACCUAUCACAGGGGUAACCCAUAGACAGACAAUCAUGUGCACAUUUGCACACUCACACCUAGGGUCAAUUUAGAGUCACCUAACGAUCAUAUCUUUGGAGGAAGCCGGAGGACCCGGAGAAAACCCAUGCGGACAGAAAAGGCCGAGCUGGGCGGAACUCGAACCCAGACCUACUCGCUGGGAAGCAUCAGCGCUAACCACCUAUGAAAUAAAUCAUAUAUAAAAAAUAUAUUUAAUAAAAUCGCAUAAAAAGAAAUCAUCAAAAGGUGUGAUGUUUUACAAAAUACUGUUGUCCAUUUUUCACUGUUUGCGCCUGAGAAAAAUGCUCUUCAUGCUUUGUGUGAACAGAAGUCAUUGUACUGCUGUUGAUGACUUAGCCCCGACUCUAAGCUUAACCCUGCUAAUGGCCACACUGCCCAGUGCACAACUUGACUGUCAAUUGCUCAACACCCCAAAUACUAGUACAUCCUGAUUGUGCAUUUUGAAGCUGAACACUUUAACCCUCUCUUAAUGUUUUACUUUUUUGUUUAAUAAUUGUAAAAUGCACAAUAUUUCUUUACAGCUGCUUAUUGUGAGCUUAUUUUCUUUCUUCAAAUCAUAUGACAACUAUUCUAACUAAGAGCUAACUUGUCCGUCUGCAGAUUUCUCUACAUCAAGACGAAGACAUAGACUUGUGGUCAAGGCUUUAAGGGAUUCUACAAAUCUCCAAUGUAAAGUAACAUGCUUUCUAAGUACGCCCUUUAGUGCACAGUAUGUCAAAGCAGCCUCUAAAACUAUUAAAGUGUGUGCUGAGGGUGAUGAUAUAGUCUGCAUUACAAAGCUGGAGUGUAAGAGUGGUGGUGUUAACUGUCUGCUAGCGUAAUGAGAGAGUGAGCUGUCAGAGACAUGCAUGUAAUGGCUCCCUUGCCAGCCGCCCAGUUCAGGCCCUGUGGGACAUGGUGCAGACAAACCAUUUCUUUCACACUGUCUCAUCUCCCGCACCCCCACCCCCCCUUCUCCCUCUUUCUCUUCCUUACUUCCUCCAUCUUUCCUGCAGCCUCACUUCCUUUCUGUUUCUCCUUUGUUAAACUCUGACCUGGACAGGGACCAUGCCAGAUCUCUGAUAUCUCUCGUCGCUUUCUUUUUCACACACAGUAAAUCGUACCCUUUCUCACAAUCUCAUACACACAUACAGAAUCUCACAGAGCAUGUAGGACUCAUGAGGGGUAUUUAGUGACUACCUCCCAUAGGAUGGGCUUCUUUGCUCAGUAUACAGUGGAUUUCUCAUGGGCAGUCAAGUCUGCCCUCACUGAAAUGGACAGCUUCUCAGCAGGCCUAGCUGUAGUCACAGUCUGAUGGUACAUCUUCAUCUAUUUGACAGCCAUAGUACGGUUAAAGCACUGUUCUGUUAGUAGAGUGAGUUUGCAGUCUACUUCAUACCAGACAUGUCCUUUGAGUGCAAGGUUAUUUUAUGCUUUAGUUUCACUGAAGACAGUUGGCUUCGCAGCUUUGGCGUGACAUUUUUAAGUCGUACAAUGAGACUACUAGAUAUUCUCUUACUAGUUAUGUUGUGUUCUCUGUUGGAGAUGUUGCUAAUGUGCAGUGCCACAGUCACAUCUGUUGUCUCAAAGAUCAGAUUUCACCAAUUACACAUUCACUCUAUGACUAAGCUUCCUCCUUCUCCUCUUCCCCUCUGCUCUCUGCCAAUCUAUAAGCAUUCAUCCCUAGAGGCUCGCCGUUAUGACAGUUCUUUCAUCAGCCAUUACUGCUGGUGUUAAUGGCAUCCUCAUGCUGACUUUAAAGACUGAUUACCAUAUUGUGUCAGUUGAUUGACAGUUGACCUUCACACCACUUUAUGGAGAGCCAGCCAGAUACCGUGGGUCACCUCGACUGCUUCCAUGACAGCGUAUUAAUAAUAAUCUGAUAGAAUUACCAGGAACCAAUUAAUGUGCAGACCUCAGACAAGACAGUGGUUAAAGAGACAGUGCUAUUUCUCAGCUUGGUUGAGCCAGUUCACACACAUAGUUGCAUGCAUUUCACUGUGGUUAAUUCCCACCAAUUCCGUGAUAUACCAAAAAUGUGAGGAAUCAUGGCUGCGCAAAUGCUUAGGUCAUGAUAUACUCAGUCGUUCAGGCAAACAGAUGACUUAUUAAUGCAAGAAACGAGGCGGGAUAGGAAAAACGGUGUAGUUGAUCUAUAUAUAGGCUUAAUGGCCUAUAAUUUCCUGAAGGAAAAUGUUUGUGAAUUAAUUCUGUUCUUUGAUUUUCAUUAGUCAUGUCAUGUUUAUGUUCACUUACUUCUCAGAUUGGUCCACAGAAUAAAGUUAUAAUGUUAUAGUAAGGUUUUAUUCUGUGGUUCUUUUACCAAUUUUAUUUUAAAUUCUACUGAAAAACCUAAUGUUUUUAAUUACUAUCCAGUUUUUGGUAUGUAUAAUGGUAAAAUGUAUUAUUCAACUCAGUAUGAACACAAUAAGUGUAUGAAUUGAUGGUUCAUAAAAAUAUAUUUAUAUUAUAUCAAGCACAUUACUUACAUAUACUAUUAUAUUUUGUUCUCAGUGUCUUUGGUGGAGCUUGUCACUUGAAACUGACCUCUGUAGCAUGGGUAUGAUAGGUAAUUAAACAUUUUUAUAGGAGGGCGAAGAGACGAGGGUUGUGUUUGUUCAGAGAGAGAUAACAUUCUUAGAGAGGAACUACAGCGUGGCAGAACAGCCCUGCAAUAUUACCUCACGCUGAGCUGCAUAAUAAAGAGGACUUGCAUGCAUAUUAAUAUCAGCACUCUGCAUAAUGUCUACAUCUUACGACAGCCUCAGAAAUACACUGACGCCUCACCGGUAUUGGUUAACCCUUCCUGCUUUGUUUUUUGCGUCCACAUUCUCUCAUACUGGGAGGCAUCUCCCCAAAGCCUGGUCUUGCCCAGUUCAGCUCCUCUGGCCGUGACUGCCAGCCUCAUUCCCACUCUCCACCAGUUCUUACUUCUUAGAAAUGCACGGUGGAGGUAUGUGAUGCCAAACGAUUUUCUCGUUACCUCCCUCCCACCCAGUUGGUUGAAGCGUUUGGAAGAACUACAGCGACAUCUGCAUGUGCCAUGGUUACAAAGCGCCAGGCUCAUACCCACCCACUUCACUGGGCUUUCCCUGCCAGCCUGCUUUCUGUCUGUACUGCCCCCCCCUCCCCUGCGGCACUCAUUUCCCAAAUUACUAAACACGGCUAAUUGUGUGAGGCGUGAAGCUCACUUCAUUUGAAUAUUCUGGCUUGGGGGUGAUUUGUGUUGGAUAGGGUGAGAAUUAAGCAAGUGUGUCUGGAAAAGGGAGGUCCCGCAAUUACAUUCACAGGUCUCUGUGAAGUAGAAUUUUAUCAAUGAAUUGUUGUUUCCCAGGCCGUUAAUGUGGUGCCUCUCUGGGUUAUUGCUUUGUAAGAAAAUGUUUUGUUUUGUUUUUCUUUGUAAUGUGAACUUUACAUUUGGAUGGGCUUUUUAUUAUUAUUCUUUAAUUUUCCAAAUGACGUGUUUCUUAUGGAGGAUUUGUUUAGAAAGAAGAAAGACUCAUCAGCUUCCUUUUACACAGUUGUAGUCAUUACUUGAAAUGAUGAUCAAAUGGAACUCGCACAGUGCUCUUUUUUGUUGUAGUGUGUUCUUUUUUUCUUUUUCAUCUCCAUGUGAUGUGUGUUUGGGGGGAGGAGGGGGGGGGGGUCAUUUCAUACUAAUUAGUCAGAACAUAAUGGGCCCUGUUCAUUUUUGAGGUUAGUUGUGGAGCAUACCUUGGGGAUAUUUAUUUAGUUGUUUUUGUUCUGUUAUAUAGGAAGAUCUUAAGCAAGACAUACAACGGAUUAGCCUCAAUUAUUAUUCCCUUCAAUUAAGUGUUUUUUUCACUCUGUCUCCCAGUCACUUAGCCUGAAUCCAACUCACACCUGCUAUCACCUGCAGUGCUCUACACUUAUUCAUGUAACAUUUUAAGCCCUUGCAUGAGGUCCCAAAAAAAUUAGCGGUGAAUUGUUCAUUCAAACAAGUUUCUAGCAUUGAUGAUAUAAAGCUGGUCUCAGGUCUGGAAUUGCAAUAAUAAUCGUAUUUCUGUUCCAUUCAUAAAUCCGCAAACAUCCAUUAGUUCUGCAUGAACUGAUAUACACUGUAUCUGCGAUGAUUUCUUGCACAGCCUGUAAGGUGCUCAUCCAUGUUGGAAAGACUGAGCACGCUGACUUUUUUUUUUUUUUUUUUUUAAUUAAUGUUGAAUUAAACGAACUGGCAGGUUGCCAGAAACGGGCGCACGUCUUUGAAGAUUGUCAUCGCAUAAUGAGUCGCUUUUUUUCCUCUAUAUAUUUUAUGCUUUUCUGUUUCCACUCCCUCGCUCUCCGCUGCCAUUUGCCCGUAUGCCUUAGCGGUUUAAUGAUAUGCAAAUGAAAUAUGCAUAAAACCAUUCUGCUGUAGGAUGAUUAAGCACAGAAGACAUUAGCCAGUGCCCGCCACAGUGUCUGUUGUCUCUCCUGUAUUCCGCUUCGGCCAGGCACCAACACCACUCAUACAAAGAUCAAUGCCGCUAAUGCACUAAUCAUUUAAAUAACACGAAUAAUAUCCAGUUUGACAGAAGUUAGAAUCCACAAAGGUUUCUUCUCACUCCAGCUUUGUAAGAUCCAUAAAUGGGAAAGGCAGAUGUCUUCAUAGAGAGUUGGUGCUCCAGAGAGCAGGCAGAGAGCAAAGAGACAAGGUUUUCCAAGAGGAGCACUUCAACAUCACUGGCAAUGCAGGAGCUUUUCUCUGCUUGUUUGUGAGUACUGUGGCAUUAUUUGACUACUGGCAUAUAACGAAGGAAGAAAAAUAUCUCCGUUCUUGCUUUCCCUCUCUCUCUCUGUAACACACACACACACACUCCACCCCCCAUUCCAUUCUGCUCUGUCGUGCAAGCCCUCUUUUUUUUUUUUUUUUUUUUUUGUAAUCCAUUUGUGUAAUGAAGACGCUGCACAAUUAACAUCCCCCGUGGAAUUAAAUGAAGGGGUAAUUAUCCAAAGUUCAUUAGCUCCGAAAGAUUAGAAUAUCCACGUGUUUCCCCGUGAUGAAUAUGGAAGAAUACGCCACAAAUUACAAAUGUAAUUGUUAAUCGUAUUUGUUGCGAUCAUUAUUAUCGCAUUUUAAAAUGCCCAAAAUGAUGCCAUCUUUCAAGCCGUCCUUCCUCAGUGGUGGCACUACGGAAUUCAGACAUCUUGGUAGUGCCAACGUUGGGUAGCAAGCACAAAGAUGUUAUAAUCCCUCCCUUUGGAUGACUUCUUUAAUUAUUCAUGUUGUACAACCAUGCCUCCUGUCCAAAGAAAUCCAGGAGAAAAAAAAAAAAUGAACAGUGAUUGUUGGAUGCCAGUGGAUGAAUAUCCAUGCGUUGCUAAUUACCGUUUUAAUUCCGAAUGUGGAUAUUAACUGGGAAAACGAACUUAAUGAAAUCCUCCGUUAUAUCUCUCCAGCGAUGCCCAUCCUUGGCUCCGUGCCCGAUGCCAGCAGACCUCGCUGGAACCACGGAAACGUUCCUCCCGACCCAGAGAGUACCUCGAACUGUGAGUCAAACCAGUUGUGUGCUGGACAUCCUGAAGCAAAGAUCUCUCAGUCGCUGCCCGACCUGCAGAAGAGCUAAAUGGAUCUCGGGAGGACGUGUCGUAUGCGGCAAAAUCAGAAGCAGCUUCAGAGCGCGAGUCAGCAGGCCCAGGAGCUCCAGAGUCAGCUGCAGUUAAUGGGUGUCUGGUGCAGAUGGAUUCAGACUGAUGCACUAAUGGGCUAUCAGCAGGAGUGGAGAUCUCAGGAAUAGGUGAAAAAGAAGAGGUUUCUGAGCUACAGGUGGAGAUAGAUAUAGCUGGAGGAUGAGAGGCAAGAUCUGCAAAGAAAGACAGUGCAGGAGGCUGCCUUGAAGCUUGAGUAAUGAUGAAUCUCCAGACUGGUCAGGAAGUAGAAAGGCUGAGGACGACUGCAACAAACGAAAGAAAGGCACACAUGGACCAUGAUGCAGGAGGGUGUGGAAGCUCAGAAAAUUGCAGUCAAGAGACUCAAAGCUGAAGAUUCAGCUUCUGUGUAUCGACCAGACCUCAGUGACACAGCACCUGCUGGAGACUGUGUCGGUGCUCCGUGAUUUGGCUUCAAGAGGAGUUCUGAUUAGCAGAUCAGAGAGUCUGCAGAAGAAGAGAAGAAUCACUGCCAACCUCUGCCAGCCUUCAUGUUCACGGCUUGUUCCCAGAUUGGUGCAGAGAUGGGAGAGUUUCUGCUGAGGAUUCUGUCCUUGACGGGGCCUCAACGUUGACCAAGCGGCCCUCAGAUGUCAACUUUUUUAACUUUGAUUCUCUGGUUGAGUCUGCCUUUCACCAUUCAGUUAUAAUUACUGAAACCACACAAAAGGCGUGGCUGUUAAACCUCACCAUAAUUUCAUUAAUUUAGUGUAUUGAUUGGUCUCUGGGACAAAAAAAAAGAGAUAUUUUAUCAUUUAGAAUUUUCACUUAUUUGAGUAUUAAACUUGUGUAUUUUUCUUUUGCCAGAUUAGACUGUUAGUUUAAAUAUUUAACCAUAUUUGAGACAUAAAUAAUCCAACACUUUAUCUGUCGGUAGAGCACAGAAUUUGUUCCCAGCUAUUUGUUGUGUUUUGUCAAAAGGUUCUCAAUCGCAGCAAUGUUUUAGUUUCAGCUAGUUUUUAUUGCAUUUCAGCUGAAUAAGUGAUGAGCUAAUAGGAAUAUUGAUUCAUAUUUUAUUAUUAGUUGAUUUCUACAAAAGAAAAGUUGAGCCUUCGUGUUGUGAGUGAAGCAUCUCCUCCUAGAGCAACAGAGCCACAAGCCAAUGAAGCCAAAAUCUUAAUGAAUAUGGCCAGAUAGACAAGAAAUUGCAGCCAAAUAAAAGAAUAAUAAAGGCGUCUAAACCCUAACAAGUCUGCCUUUGUUCUUCCUCUCCACCCACCACAAGCAGGCAUUGUUGCAGCUUUGAGGGCAGCUCUGAGAGUUCCAUGCCCAUCGGCCUUCAAUCACAGGGGAUGUCUGAGUUUGACAGUAUAAAGUCUUUCUUCUCGAACAAAAUAAGACCCCUAAGCAAUAGUGGAUGAGCUGUUAGUAACCGUACAGUCCACAGGGAGGUAGUCCAAGCAUGGUAGUACAGUAUACACAAAGUGCUGGUUAGGGAUAAGACAAUGGAGCAGUAAAAACAUGACUGUAUGCUGCAACACUCGUACAUUUCUUACUAUUUGCCUCCGUUAGCAUAUCUGUCUGUUUUGUUGGGGAAGACUGUAUCUGG